Molecule: ribosomal RNA, 742 nt
Filed under: uncultured Alphaproteobacteria bacterium
Lineage: Bacteria; Pseudomonadati; Pseudomonadota; Alphaproteobacteria
Description: bacterial SSU rRNA
Rfam family: Bacterial small subunit ribosomal RNA
Source: RNAcentral
GGGUGAGCGGCGGACGGGUGAGUAACGCGUGGGAAUAUGCCCUUCUCUAAGGAAUAGCCUCUGGAAACGGUGAGUAAUACCUUAUACGCCCUUCGGGGGAAAGAUUUAUCGGAUUUGGAUCGGCCCGCGUUAGAUUAGGUAGUUGGUGGGGUAAUGGCCUACCAAGCCUACGAUCUAUAGCUGGUUUUAGAGGAUGAUCAGCAACACUGGGACUGAGACACGGCCCAGACUCCUACGGGAGGCAGCAGUGGGGAAUCUUAGACAAUGGGGGCAACCCUGAUCUAGCCAUGCCGCGCGAGUGAAGAAGGUCUUAGGAUCGUAAAGCUCUUUCGCCAGGGAUGAUAAUGACAGUACCUGGUAAAGAAACCCCGGCUAACUCCGUGCCAGCAGCCGCAGUAAUACGGAGGGGGUUAGCGUUGUUCGGAAUUACUGGGCGUAAAGCGCGCGUAGGCGGAUCAGAAAGUUGGGGGUGAAAUCCCAGGGCUCAACCCUGGAACUGCCUCCAAAACUCCUGGUCUUGAGUUCGAGAGAGGUGAGUGGAACUCCGAGUGUAGAGGUGAAAUUCGUAGAUAUUCGGAAGAACACCAGUGGCGAAGGCGGCUCACUGGCUCGAUACUGACGCUGAGGUGCGAAAGUGUGGGGAGCAAACAGGAUUAGAUACCCUGGUAGUCCACACCGUAAACGAUGAAUGCCAGUCGUCGGGUAGCAUGCUAUUCGGUGACACACCUAACGGAUUAAGCAU